Molecule: long non-coding RNA, 1065 nt
Organism: Mustela erminea (ermine)
Lineage: Eukaryota; Metazoa; Chordata; Mammalia; Carnivora; Mustelidae
Exons: 3
Source: RefSeq, a predicted model, not a curated record
UAUGAUGUCAUCAUUGCAGUGCAUAGGCCAACAGUCACAAGUUAGGUCACAGUAUACUAAUAGAACAAAAUGAGAUAAAAUGAACUCAGCUGCCGGGACCAGGGGAUACUGAGUGUGUGGUGAUUUUAAGAAGUGGAGGUGGUGCGGAGCCAGACCCCCAAAACAGAUUCCCUAAGCAGGAUUUCAGGUUGGCCAGGCUUCUAUAGAUCGUUGGUCCUCAACAGUGGCUGCACAACAGAGUCACCCGGGGAGCUCUGGCAGGACACCCAUGUCCAGACCCCAAGCAUGUGGUGAAUCCUGAAAAAGUCCAAGAAAAUGGUAUUGGUUGAGAGUAGAGAUGGAGCUGGGACAGGUAAAGGCUGGCUUGGAGGCUUGUGGAGUGAGGAAGCUGGGAUACUUUUAAAGAAGAUGCUAGAUGAAAUCAACCAAAGGUGACCGAUGCAGACAGAAAAUUUUCUGAGAUUGUGGAAUGGAAAGAUUGUGAUCAACUCUCCCCAUCCUCAGUUACAGAAUAGAAGGGCCUGAAAGAUGUUAUUACUGAAGAGUGUCCAGGAAAUUCAAUGAAUAGCCCAAAUUUUCAGCCAGGUGCAGCGGAGGAACUCAUCCCACCAAAGAAGCAAGAUCAUCCCAUUCCAGUGUUUUUAUCCAUGCAACCAGCUAGGCUCAUCUUUCUCAAUGUAGGCAUUUUCACAGGGCACAUCGACUGUAGAAGGGUGGCGAGGACUGAGGGCUGAGAACUAGUUCUCUCCCAUGAUUGUGGGGUGGUACUUGCUCUCCAUGAGUCCUCAGAUAAUUCUCCAUCUUCUGAAGUGUUGCUUGUCAAGACAAACGAUUUGGAAACAAAGCACCCACCACAGUUACUGUCUCUGACACUCCUGUGGAUGGCCCAAGAAGGGGAAACCAACUGGAAGUGGGGGGCUCUGCUCACAUGCCUUGCUCCGUGAGUCAAAAGCACUCACCACCAGAAUGGUUCCUCACUCAGCCCCCAGGUCCAGAAAAAGCCUCUCCCUCUUUGAUAUCUAAGGCCUAUUCUAUUUCCCACACCAGGAUCAACUGACAAUUAAA